Molecule: ribosomal RNA, 483 nt
Filed under: uncultured Pantoea sp.
Lineage: Bacteria; Pseudomonadati; Pseudomonadota; Gammaproteobacteria; Enterobacterales; Erwiniaceae
Description: bacterial SSU rRNA
Rfam family: Bacterial small subunit ribosomal RNA
Source: RNAcentral
GCAUUAGAGUUUGAUCAUGGCUCAGAUUGAACGCUGGCGGCAGGCCUAACACAUGCAAGUCGGACGGUAGCACAGAGGAGCUUGCUCCUCGGGUGACGAGUGGCGGACGGGUGAGUAAUGUCUGGGGAUCUGCCCGAUAGAGGGGGAUAACCACUGGAAACGGUGGCUAAUACCGCAUAACGUCGCAAGACCAAAGAGGGGGACCUUCGGGCCUCUCACUAUCAGAUGAACCCAGAUGGGAUUAGCUAGUAGGCGGGGUAACGGCCCACCUAGGCGACGAUCCCUAGCUGGUCUGAGAGGAUGACCAGCCACACUGGAACUGAGACACGGUCCAGACUCCUACGGGAGGCAGCAGUGGGGAAUAUUGCACAAUGGGCGCAAGCCUGAUGCAGCCAUGCCGCGUGUAUGAAGAAGGCCUUCGGGUUGUAAAGUACUUUCAGCGGGGAGGAAGGCAGUGAGGUUAAUAACCUUACUGAUUGACGU